GCUGGGCAUGCACCUGUAGUCCCAGCUACUGCUGAGGCGGGAGGAUUGCCUGAGCCUAGGAGCUCUGUAUUACAAUGCACUAUGCCUAUGGGGUGUCUGCACUAGGUGUGGCAUCAACGUGGUGACCUCCCAGGAGUGGGGGCCACCAGGUUGACUAAGGAGGGGUGAUACAACCCAGGUUGGAAGCAGAGUAUAUCAAAAACCCCAUGCUGGCUGGGGCUCCCGAGACCAGCCUGACCAACAUGGCGAAACCCUGUCUCU
This 261-nucleotide signal recognition particle RNA is filed under the name Piliocolobus tephrosceles (Ugandan red Colobus). Its description in RNAcentral is "Metazoan signal recognition particle RNA (ENSPTEG00000031850.1)". It matches the Rfam family "Metazoan signal recognition particle RNA". Rfam says of the family: The signal recognition particle (SRP) is a universally conserved ribonucleoprotein. It is involved in the co-translational targeting of proteins to membranes. The eukaryotic SRP consists of a 300-nucleotide 7S RNA and six proteins: SRPs 72, 68, 54, 19, 14, and 9. The record is from RNAcentral. Lineage: Eukaryota; Metazoa; Chordata; Mammalia; Primates; Cercopithecidae.